UAGCAAAGAUAUUACAUGAAAUCUGAACAUGACUUUAAUCAUAAUUCUUUUGUAUUGGAACAGAUCUUGCAAGACAUCUACAAUAUGAACCAUAAUAUAUUUAUCUUGGAAUUAUAUAGCUUACUCAUUAGUCAUAGAUGAAAUCUACUCUGACAGUAAAGUACAUAUGAUCUACCGAGAGAAUGACGAAAUUGCUGGCUCUGGUGUAGGUAGAAACAACAAAAUUGUGAGAGAGAAAGAAAAAAAAAUCCCAAAUAACAUGAAUCAAGUCUAUACAUGUACGAUUAAAUUUAGUUCACAUUGAUAUACCUCAGCUGUCAAAAAGUGGACAUGGUUUAGGCCAAGCUCUUGCUACUUCUUUACCCCCAUAGAUAAACAAUCUGCUCGCAACCAAGGACGUCUUUAUUAAAUUUAGUUCACAUUGAUAUAACGGUACCUCAGCUGUCAAAAAGUGGACGUGGACAUGGUUUAGGCCAAGCUCUUACUACUUCUUUACCCCCACAGAUGAACAAUCUGCUCGCAACCAAGGACGUCUUUAUUAAAUUUAGUUCACAUUGAUAUACCUCAGCUGUCAAAAAGUGGACAAGGUUUAGGCCAAGCUCUUACUACUUCUUUACCCCCACAGAUCAACAAUCUGCUCGCAACCAAGGACGUCUUUAUUAAAUUUAGUUCACAUUGAUAUACCUCAGCUGUCAAAAAGUGGACAAGGUUUAGGCCAAGCUCUUACUACUUCUUUACCCCCACAGAUCAACAAUCUGCUCGCAACCAAGGACGUCUUUAUUAAAUUUAGUUCACAUUGAUAUACCUCAGCUGUCAAAAAGUGGACAUGGUUUAGGCCAAGGUCUUACUACUUCUUUACCCCCACAGAUAAA
Molecule: long non-coding RNA, 872 nt
Organism: Strongylocentrotus purpuratus (purple sea urchin)
Lineage: Eukaryota; Metazoa; Echinodermata; Echinoidea; Camarodonta; Strongylocentrotidae
Exons: 2
Source: RefSeq, a predicted model, not a curated record